CACGUAGGGCGCAAGCGUUGUCCGGAAUUAUUGGGCGUAAAGAGCUCGUAGGCGGUCUGUUGCGUCCGCUGUGAAAACUCGGGGCUUAACCCCGAGCCUGCAGUGGAUACGGGCAGACUAGAGGUAGGUAGGGGAGAAUGGAAUUCCCGGUGUAGCGGUGAAAUGCGCAGAUAUCGGGAGGAACACCGGUGGCGAAGGCGGUUCUCUGGGCAUGUCCCUGACGCUGAGGAGCGAAAGUGGUGGGGAGCGAAACAGG
This 256-nucleotide ribosomal RNA is filed under the name uncultured bacterium. RNAcentral's name for it is "partial 16S ribosomal RNA". It matches the Rfam family "Bacterial small subunit ribosomal RNA", at positions 524 to 776 of the family's 1533-position model. The record is from RNAcentral.